Long non-coding RNA from Etheostoma cragini (Arkansas darter), 314 nucleotides. RefSeq lists it as uncharacterized. The record is from RefSeq and is a predicted model, not a curated record. The transcript has 2 exons. Lineage: Eukaryota; Metazoa; Chordata; Actinopteri; Perciformes; Percidae.
GCGCAGGGGAUCUGGACGGCAGUGUGGACUCCUGCCAGGGGGACAGUGGGGGUCCCCUGGUGUGUCAGGACGAGCUGGGUGUGUCCUACCUGUGGGGGGUCGUCAGCUGGGGGGAGAGGUGCGGUCAGCCGGGUUUCCCCGGAGUCUACACCCAGGUGGCUCAUUACUUCGAGUGGAUCCGAAGUCACACCGGCUGGCCGGCGGUCACCAGGUUUAACUCGUGAUAUAAAAACACUUUUAAACAACUUUUUGUUUAGUCUUUAAAUCGCCUCUUAUUUGUUCACUUUGUGUCCAAUAAAAUACGUUUUCCAGUU